This 253-nucleotide ribosomal RNA is filed under the name uncultured bacterium. RNAcentral describes it as "partial 16S ribosomal RNA". It matches the Rfam family "Bacterial small subunit ribosomal RNA", at positions 524 to 776 of the family's 1533-position model. The record is from RNAcentral.
UACGUAGGGACCAAGCGUUGUUCGGAAUUACUGGGCGUAAAGGGCUCGUAGGCGGCUAACUAAGUCAUAUGUGAAAUCCCUCGGCUUAACCGGGGAACUGCGUCUGAUACUGGAUGGCUUGAGUUCGGGAGAGGGAUGCGGAAUUCCAGGUGUAGCGGUGAAAUGCGUAGAUAUCUGGAGGAACACCGGUGGCGAAGGCGGCAUCCUGGACCGAUACUGACGCUGAGGAGCGAAAGCCAGGGGAGCAAACGGG